UGGGAAAAAUUUAGUGCAGGAGUAAAAUGAUAAUUUUAAAACUUUUUAAAAUCACUAUUUUAUAGUAAAAAUUAUUAAUUAAUCUAAUUAAUUAAUAAGAAUUUACCCUACACUAGGAUCUAAAUAUGAUAUAUAGCAUGCAUGCAUUUAAAUUUGAAAUUCGAAUUUGAACAGUAAACACUUUACUGUAAUAUGUUCAGAACACAAUACCUUUGUGCGGAUAGUAG
RNAcentral lists this long non-coding RNA (227 nucleotides) under Elaeis guineensis (African oil palm). RNAcentral's name for it is "long non-coding RNA (EGUI_LNC052454)". The record is from RNAcentral. Lineage: Eukaryota; Viridiplantae; Streptophyta; Magnoliopsida; Arecales; Arecaceae.